RNAcentral lists this small RNA (29 nucleotides) under Bombyx mori (domestic silkworm). RNAcentral describes it as "ovarian small RNA-30052". Lineage: Eukaryota; Metazoa; Arthropoda; Insecta; Lepidoptera; Bombycidae. The record is from RNAcentral.
UCUGUGUAGAUAUUGAAGAGCAACGGUGA